UACGUAGGGUGCGAGCGUUGUCCGGAAUUACUGGGCGUAAAGAGCUCGUAGGCGGUCUGUCGCGUCGGCUGUGAAAACCCGGGGCUCAACCCCGGGCCUGCAGUCGAUACGGGCAGACUAGAGUGCGGUAGGGGAGACUGGAAUUCCUGGUGUAGCGGUGAAAUGCGCAGAUAUCAGGAAGAACACCCGUGGCUAAGGCGGCUCUCUAGUACGGUACUGACGCUGAGACGCGAAAGCGUGGGGAGCGAACAGG
This 253-nucleotide ribosomal RNA is filed under the name uncultured bacterium. RNAcentral describes it as "partial 16S ribosomal RNA". It matches the Rfam family "Bacterial small subunit ribosomal RNA", at positions 524 to 776 of the family's 1533-position model. The record is from RNAcentral.